RNAcentral lists this ribosomal RNA (609 nucleotides) under Triticum aestivum (bread wheat). RNAcentral's name for it is "partial small subunit ribosomal RNA". Lineage: Eukaryota; Viridiplantae; Streptophyta; Magnoliopsida; Poales; Poaceae. The record is from RNAcentral.
AUGUACAUCCUACCGGAGAGGUUAGCUGCUAAAAUUGACACGCUGGAGGCAACGCAAUCGGUGGACACGUUCUAUGGUAGGGAACUGAAAGACCACCGGUGCAAAAUGGGAAGUCAAUUGGGAUACGACAAGUUUGUGAAGGCCCUUAGGUUGAGAUGGUCUUCUAUCACAGGAAGGAACCAACAACCGGUAAUCCUUGCGAUGCGUUGGACCUCGACUUAUUCUAUGCUUCAAACAUCAUCACCAUUGACAACGGCGCGUGAGCCCCUUUUUUGGACUCCCUUAUGGAAAGAAGCCAAAGAAGUUUCACAAGGAAGAAGUGGAAGGUGUGAAGCUUUGAAGGAUGAUGCGUGGAUUUUCUGGAUCAAAAUCUCCACCAACCCUACCGUGGCUCAUAUCCUGGAAUACAUAGUCCUUUGGGCGCUCAUCAAUGACUUGGUGAAAAUGUCGAGGAAGACAUUAGUUGGAAGCGUACGGCCAUCGGGCACUAUUCGGCAGCCUCUGUAUAUAAGGUGCAAGGGAAUUCGGCAGCCUCUGUACAUAAGGUGCAAGGGAACCACGCAGGCCGAUAUGAAGCACUUGGCGUGGAGGGCUUGGGCACUGCCCUAA